This 253-nucleotide ribosomal RNA is filed under the name uncultured bacterium. RNAcentral describes it as "partial 16S ribosomal RNA". It matches the Rfam family "Bacterial small subunit ribosomal RNA", at positions 524 to 776 of the family's 1533-position model. The record is from RNAcentral.
UACGUAGGGUGCGAGCGUUAAUCGGAAUUACUGGGCGUAAAGCGUGCGCAGGCGGUUUUGUAAGACAGGCGUGAAAUCCCCGGGCUUAACCUGGGAAUGGCGCUUGUGACUGCAAAGCUGGAGUGCGGCAGAGGGGGAUGGAAUUCCGCGUGUAGCAGUGAAAUGCGUAGAUAUGCGGAGGAACACCAAUGGCGAAGGCAAUCCCCUGGGCCUGUACUGACGCUCAUGCACGAAAGCGUGGGGAGCAAACAGG